UGCCAGCCGCCGCGGUAAUACGAAGGGGGCUAGCGUUGUUCGGAAUUACUGGGCGUAAAGCGCACGUAGGCGGAUAUUUAAGUCAGGGGUGAAAUCCCAGAGCUCAACUCUGGAACUGCCUUUGAUACUGGGUAUCUUGAGUAUGGAAGAGGUAAGUGGAAUUGCGAGUGUAGAGGUGAAAUUCGUAGAUAUUCGCAGGAACACCAGUGGCGAAGGCGGCUUACUGGUCCAUUACUGACGCUGAGGUGCGAAAGCGUGGGGAGCAAACAGGAUUAGAAACCCCUGUAGUCC
The sequence is a ribosomal RNA, 291 nucleotides long. It matches the Rfam family "Bacterial small subunit ribosomal RNA", at positions 506 to 796 of the family's 1533-position model.